AUGGGAAUUUCAGAACAGGUCCAUCCAGAAACUGUGGAAGAAAUUGUUUAUGAAGCUAGGCGGCGGGGGCUAACUAGCUUGCGGCUAUCGUACUUGGAUUUGAUUUGAGAUAGGAGUGCAGGAUUUGACGUUGAUGAUUUGUAUUUUCAUAUACUGAUGUAAUUGAUUGAAGCUGAAGCUGAAUAUGACAUUGUAACAGUUAGUUUUGCAAUUAUUGGAGAAGGGAGACAUUGUAACAGUUAGUUUUGCAAUUAUUGGAGAAGGGA
RNAcentral lists this unclassified non-coding RNA (266 nucleotides) under Hevea brasiliensis (rubber tree). Lineage: Eukaryota; Viridiplantae; Streptophyta; Magnoliopsida; Malpighiales; Euphorbiaceae. The record is from RNAcentral.